CCUACGGGGUGCAGCAGUGGGGAAUAUUGGACAAUGGGCGAAAGCCUGAUCCAGCCAUGCCGCGUGUGUGAAGAAGGCCUUCGGGUUGUAAAGCACUUUCAGUGGGGAAGAAAGCCUUGGGGCUAAUACCCGCGAGGAAGGACAUCACCCACAGAAGAAGCACCGGCUAACUCCGUGCCAGCAGCCGCGGUAAUACGGAGGGUGCGAGCGUUAAUCGGAAUUACUGGGCGUAAAGCGCGCGUAGGCGGUCUGAUAAGCCGGUUGUGAAAGCCCCGGGCUCAACCUGGGAACGGCAUCCGGAACUGUCAGGCUAGAGUGCAGGAGAGGAAGGUAGAAUUCCCGGUGUAGCGGUGAAAUGCGUAGAGAUCGGGAGGAAUACCAGUGGCGAAGGCGGCCUUCUGGACUGACACUGACGCUGAGGUGCGAAAGCGUGGGUAGCAAACAGGAUUAGAUACCCGUGUAGUC
RNAcentral lists this ribosomal RNA (465 nucleotides) under Vreelandella stevensii. RNAcentral describes it as "partial 16S ribosomal RNA". It matches the Rfam family "Bacterial small subunit ribosomal RNA", at positions 338 to 795 of the family's 1533-position model. The record is from RNAcentral. Lineage: Bacteria; Pseudomonadati; Pseudomonadota; Gammaproteobacteria; Oceanospirillales; Halomonadaceae.